GAUUCCCUGAUGUUUAGCCUGAUCCUCUCAAUCGGGCUGCCUCACACUGAGAAGGUGCUCAACAAUCAACCUUAUUUAUAUAUUUACCAUUCAUCUAUGGCAUGUUCUCACAUCUUUUAUUUUCAUGCUAAUUGUGUUGUGGAUCUUCUCCACCCACCCCCCCGUUUCCUCCAGUACAUUUGUUCUGCAGCUAUUUGUGUAGAAACCAAGCAAUUUCUGCUCCACCUGCUCAUAAACACAAUGAGAGAGGGAACAGCGUGUUCCAGCAGAGCCUCUGCCUUAGCAACAGUUCACAGCAUCGCUGGGAAGGAACAGAGACCUUCUGGAGAGGAGGAGUGCCCUUCGUCUCCCGAAAAGCAGCAGCAGGCAAGUUCUGCCUUUAAUUCUAUUUCCUGCGAGCCCCCCCUUUCGCUGGAAGUGUUUGGUAGCUGUAAUAAAGAAUGCAAAACCUGAGCGCAGUUUGCCCCUCGCACUCCGUGAAGACAAAGUGGGGUUGGUGACUGAGCAGACCGUCUGCCACGCGGAACACGCAGGCCCACGCUGGAGCCCUCAGUUACAGAGGGGCCACAAACAAGCUGAGCUGUUUCCAAAGACCUGGCCUGUCCUCCACACUGUGCUUUCCCUGCGCCAGCGCUGAAGAAACCGACUCAUCUUCCUCGUACAUCAGUCUUGGGCAAUGCAUCUUCAAUGAUCAACUCAUUCUUCCUGUUGGGCCACUGGUCAUCAGGUUUACUGACAGGGAAAGAUCCACUUUCUCAUCCGGCUGCUUGCCUGGCAAGGAGCUGGACAAAGCCGAGUCAGUGAACUGGAGAACGUGGUUCUUGGCUGUAGGAUCUGCAUGGGGGCUGGUGGAUGGCGAUGGUACAGACAAGGUUUGGUUGAGAUAAGACCGAGCGUCACAUCGUUUCACUGGAGAACGCAGCCAUGCAACCCGCGAUCCUCUCUGUCACGGUUCCAGAGCGCAGUUCACAAUGCAACUGAGAAUGAGAACGUUUUGCUGCACCUUCUGUGGCCCCAAAAGCUUGAUUCCAGCUUUCCAUCGCAAAUCCACACUAAGUCAGUUCUUGGUCCUCUUGUACCAAAUCACUUGGCUGCUGCUUCCGAUUGUCAUACCUGGUCUAUAAAAGACACUUCUCCUUGCUUCUCUCUUUUAACAGCUAUCUCAGAAUUCCGUCUUUUGCCAUUCAGCUACCUCCACAAAACAAAAAGUUAAUGGCAACAACUUUCAAAACUGUGGAUUUUAGGAUUUUAUGUAUGCAAGCUGAUUUAGCCGGAGAAUAGCAACAAAUGAGAAAUGGCAAUUAACUCUCCCAGAGUAAAGCCUGUUAUUUCUCAUGUUCUUCAACCCCCUCUCACAGAAUGCUGUCAGAAAGAAGGCAGCUGAUUCUAGCAAACAAGGCUACGCACUUCGUAAUUCCACUCCACUGCAACCAAAACUCUGUAGGAAGAACAUUUCAGUAUAACUAAUUAGCAAGCUCUGUGUCCUCAUCCUUGUUAAUUCAAGAGACACCUCUAAAAGGCUCCUUGGGGAGAGGUUCUACUGUUAUAAUUUUACCCCCCCGUUCCAGUCCGGACGUCUACUUCGAAGUUCCGCAAGGAAUAAUCCCCAGGAGCGCAAAGGGUGAAUAUCCAGGUGCUAUUUGAGAGAUUGCCCUUGUCUUCAUAGUGGAAUUUAGCACGUACACUAAAUAAUAGCUCAGGGUAUAGAGAGUUGUUGGGAGUUCCUCCAAAUCAAUUAUUUGCAAAUUUCAAACCUUUAGAAACUUGUCCAUCAUUAAUCUCAGAGAUAAUAAUAUCUGCUUGACGAAGAUCACACCGACAUCUGUGACUGUGUGCCUGGUGUGCCCUCACAGCUACUCGGAAUAGAGCUAUGAACACAUUUGGGUAGGAAAGCAGAGCUUUGGUAACGCAGGGAACUUGUGUAAGCUUCAGGUCCCAUGGGAGUUCUGGGGCCACCACCAUCUACUGCCAAACAAGCCACAUUCUCCCUUUUGCGCGGCGUUUAUCUGCGCUAUUGCAGGCAGCCCAGCCACCACAGCUCAGAAAUAGUCAUUCCCCUGCAAAUUAGUUCACCUCAUUUCAUGGCCAAAUCAUUCACUCGUCAGUUUUCCCUUUGGCCUUCGCAGUUAAUGGGAUCUGCUAUUAGUCAGUCCGGGGGGAUUUCUUACUCCCAUUAGGGAAAAAAAAACCACUCUGAAUUCAAAUGGAAUUCAUUUCCCUAAAUAUACAACCACACGUGGCCACUCUUUUGUUUGAGACCAGUAGAUUUGGGAAUGGUUUGAGUUGAUUACAAAUGAAAGAUCACUUUAAAACUCAGAAGGAGAAACGCGCUGGUUUUCAUUCAAGGACAUCCCGAAAAGAAAUACCUUCCGCCUUCUCCAUUUUGUUGCUUUUAUCCCUCCAUCAGUAUCACCAGUACCAGUGACCUUGUGGGAGUUAUUUCAAAGUACUGAAGGAAGCCCUGGUCCAGGUUCCUUCUGCUUUCUCAGCACAUCACCCCGAGGCUCCACCGAGAGCCCCGGCCCUGGGGCCGCCCAUUCCAGCUGUGGAAAUGUGACAUUUGCCCUGCAGACAGAAGCCUCAAGGGCUCCGUUCAGUGGCGCAGCAGCCUGUGCUCUCCUGAGAAACCGCUACAAUCCCUGGCCAAGAGAUCCCCCCAUUUUCAACCUUAUAUAUAUGCUUUUGAACUGUUUUAUGAAUCCGGCCCCACGUUUCAUGCCAGGCAUCUUGCCAUGUGCCGUGUCUAGUUUAUAUAAACCUCUAGGGCUGGCUUUAAUCUGCUUUCCCAGAGUCCCUAGGUCUGAAAACCUAGAUACCAGGAAGAAAGAGGGGAAGAAAACAGAGAAGAGCAAUCAAAGCACGGAGUGAGAUCACUUCUGAAGAUCGCAGUGAACACGGAUCUGAGGGCUGAUCCGGUUCCUCAGCUCAGGUGCUGGGGUCACCGGGGGCUGUUUUCCCCCUGCGAUUGCGUAAACGAGGAAGCUGUUGACUCGCUCGGCGCUGCACAGACAUAUGUGCCUCAUUAGCUGGAUUCCUUGUAUUGUUUCGGCUUGUCGCUGCUGGCUGGGAACAUGCAGCCUUGAGCUGUUCCCGCUUUGAAAAUGCACUUCUUUCUGCCCCGGAUUAUUGCCAAGCGGAGAUUUAAGUACACUAUUACUUUUAUGGAGAACUAUUAAGAGUUAUUAGAUCCCAUUAGAGCAGACUAUGCUCUUUAAAAAAAGAACCCUUUCCUUUAUUUUUGAACAACCAUUUAUAUUCAUUUAAAUCUGACAGAAAGUUUGUAUCAACGCAAACACAGUUAAUUAUAUCUUAAAUCAGUGGGAAUAUUUCUUGUUUAUUUUGAAAAAAUGUUUUACUAGUCUCCCCUAAAGACCGUGUCGUACUUAUGUGGCUUUAAAGUGACCGUCACGGGUGCUGGGGGCACCGGGGGUUCUGGCAUGGAUGCCAUAAGGAGAGUCGGGGAAAAGGAAUUGGAAAUCGAACCCCAGCACAAUCUGUACCUGUUUUUUAUUAGGUUCGGAUGAAGUCCCCAGCUCAUGGACACUAAAAUAUCAAGGGGAAUCUUUAUAUCAGUAGAAACAGGAUCAGACGGUACAUUACAUUAAGAAUAUGACCUAAUAUUAUUGGCAGAAGUCACUACCAGUAAGAACUGCACAGGGCACCCGCUCCUGGGUGGCUGUGACUGUUUAAGCCGGGGUGAAUGCCUGGAUUAAUUGCGGGUCUGUUCCAAGUUUAGUUCACGCCUGCUCCUUUUGUUACAGUUUACAUCCAGCUCUCUGAAUUUCUGUGCAUUAGUAAUUUGUAUCAAGCCGAUUUCAAAUAAAUGAAGAAAACAUCUCAAA
Long non-coding RNA from Columba livia (rock pigeon), 3842 nucleotides. RefSeq lists it as uncharacterized. The transcript is spliced from 2 exons. Lineage: Eukaryota; Metazoa; Chordata; Aves; Columbiformes; Columbidae. The record is from RefSeq and is a predicted model, not a curated record.